RNAcentral lists this ribosomal RNA (664 nucleotides) under uncultured cyanobacterium. Its description in RNAcentral is "partial 16S ribosomal RNA". Lineage: Bacteria; Bacillati; Cyanobacteriota. The record is from RNAcentral.
UGACUACAGGGGUAUCUAAUCCCUUUCGCUCCCCUAGCUUUCGUCCCUCAGUGUCAGUGCAGACCCAGCAAGGCGCCUUCGCCACCGAUGUUCUUCCCAAUAUCUACGCAUUUCACCGCUACACUGGGAAUUCCCCUUGCCCCUAUCGCACUCUAGCCACCCAGUUUCAAUUGCCCUUAUAGAGUUAAGCUCUACGCUUUAGCAACUGACUUGGAUAACCACCUACGGACGCUUUACGCCCAAUAAUUCCGGAUAACGCUUGCCUCCUCCGUAUUACCGCGGCUGCUGGCACGGAGUUAGCCGAGGCUGAUUCAAUAGGUACCGUCAUUGUGUUCUUCCCUAUCAAAAGAGGUUUACAACCAGUAGGCCUUCCUCCCUCACGCGGUCUUGCUCCGUCAGGCUUUCGCCCAUUGCGGAAAAUUCCCCACUGCUGCCUCCCGUAGGAGUCUGGGCCGUGUCUCAGUCCCAGUGUGGCUGAUCAUCCUCUCAGACCAGCUACUGAUCGUCGCCUUGGUAGUCCCUUACACUACCAACUAGCUAAUCAGACGCGAGCUCUUCCUCAGGCCAUAUAAGUUUUACCUCUCGGCACAUCGGGUAUUAGCAGUCGUUUCCAACUGUUGUCCCCAUCCUAAGGGUAGAUUCUCACGCGUUACUCACCCGUCCG